Molecule: non-coding RNA, 73 nt
Organism: Cervus elaphus (red deer)
Lineage: Eukaryota; Metazoa; Chordata; Mammalia; Artiodactyla; Cervidae
Source: the annotation of a RefSeq genome assembly
UCCCUGGUGGUCCAGUGGUUAAGACUCUGCAUUUUCGAUGCAGGGGACUCAGGUUCAAUCCCUGGUCGGGGAG